This 1355-nucleotide ribosomal RNA is filed under the name uncultured bacterium. RNAcentral's name for it is "bacterial SSU rRNA". It matches the Rfam family "Bacterial small subunit ribosomal RNA", at positions 28 to 1381 of the family's 1533-position model. The record is from RNAcentral.
AUUGAACGCUGGCGGCAGGCUUAACACAUGCAAGUCGAACGAUGAUUUCCCAGCUUGCUGGGAAUGAUUAGUGGCGGACGGGUGAGUAACAUUUAGGAAUCUGCCUAGUAGUGGGGGAUAGCUCGGGGAAACUCGAAUUAAUACCGCAUACGACCUACGGGUGAAAGGGGGCGCAAGCUCUUGCUAUUAGAUGAGCCUAAAUCAGAUUAGCUAGUUGGUGGGGUAAAGGCCCACCAAGGCGACGAUCUGUAACUGGUCUGAGAGGAUGAUCAGUCACACCGGAACUGAGACACGGUCCGGACUCCUACGGGAGGCAGCAGUGGGGAAUAUUGGACAAUGGGGGCAACCCUGAUCCAGCCAUGCCGCGUGUGUGAAGAAGGCCUUUUGGUUGUAAAGCACUUUAAGCAGGGAGGAGAGGCUAAUGGUUAAUACCCAUUAGAUUAGACGUUACCUGCAGAAUAAGCACCGGCUAACUCUGUGCCAGCAGCCGCGGUAAUACAGAGGGUGCGAGCGUUAGUCGGAAUUACUGGGCGUAAAGCGAGUGUAGGUGGCUCAUUAAGUCACAUGUGAAAUCCCCGGGCUUAACCUGGGAACUGCAUGUGAUACUGGUGGUGCUAGAAUAUGUGAGAGGGAAGUAGAAUUCCAGGUGUAGCGGUGAAAUGCGUAGAGAUCUGGAGGAAUACCGAUGGCGAAGGCAGCUUCCUGGCAUAAUAUUGACACUGAGAUUCGAAAGCGUGGGUAGCAAACAGGAUUAGAUACCCUGGUAGUCCACGCCGUAAACGAUGUCUACUAGCCGUUGGGGUCCUUGAGACUUUAGUGGCGCAGUUAACGCGAUAAGUAGACCGCCUGGGGAGUACGGCCGCAAGGUUAAAACUCAAAUGAAUUGACGGGGGCCCGCACAAGCGGUGGAGCAUGUGGUUUAAUUCGAUGCAACGCGAAGAACCUUACCUGGUCUUGACAUAGUGAGAAUCCUGCAGAGAUGCGGGAGUGCCUUCGGGAAUUCACAUACAGGUGCUGUAUGGCUGUCGUCAGCUCGUGUCGUGAGAUGUUGGGUUAAGUCCCGCAACGAGCGCAACCCUUUUCCUUAUUUGCCAGCGGGUUAAGCCGGGAACUUUAAGGAUACUGCCAGUGACAAACUGGAGGAAGGCGGGGACGACGUCAAGUCAUCAUGGCCCUUACGACCAGGGCUACACACGUGCUACAAUGGUAGGUACAGAGGGUUGCUACACAGCGAUGUGAUGCUAAUCUCAAAAAGCCUAUCGUAGUCCGGAUUGGAGUCUGCAACUCGACUCCAUGAAGUCGGAAUCGCUAGUAAUCGCAGAUCAGAAUGCUGCGGUGAAUACGUUCCCGGGCCU